UACGGAGGAUGCGAGCGUUAUCCGGAUUUAUUGGGUUUAAAGGGUGCGUAGGCGGACUAUUAAGUCAGCUGUGAAAGUUUGCGGCUCAACCGUAAAAUUGCAGUUGAUACUGAUCGUCUUGAGUACAGUAUAGGUGGGCGGAAUUCGUGGUGUAGCGGUGAAAUGCUUAGAUAUCACGAAGAACUCCGAUUGCGAAGGCAGCUCACUGGAGUGUAACUGACGCUGAGGCACGAAAGUGUGGGUAUCAAACAGG
Molecule: ribosomal RNA, 253 nt
Filed under: uncultured Bacteroides sp.
Lineage: Bacteria; Pseudomonadati; Bacteroidota; Bacteroidia; Bacteroidales; Bacteroidaceae
Description: partial 16S ribosomal RNA
Rfam family: Bacterial small subunit ribosomal RNA
Source: RNAcentral